RNAcentral lists this ribosomal RNA (309 nucleotides) under uncultured bacterium. RNAcentral's name for it is "partial 16S ribosomal RNA". It matches the Rfam family "Bacterial small subunit ribosomal RNA", at positions 355 to 681 of the family's 1533-position model. The record is from RNAcentral.
UGGGGAAUAUUGGACAAUGGGGGCAACCCUGAUCCAGCAAUGCCGCGUGUGUGAAGAAGGUCUUCGGAUUGUAAAGCACUUUCGACGGGGACGAUGAUGACGGUACCCGUAGAAGAAGCCCCGGCUAACUUCGUGCCAGCAGCCGCGGUAAUACGAAGGGGGCUAGCGUUGCUCGGAAUGACUGGGCGUAAAGGGCGUGUAGGCGGUUUACACAGUCAGAUGUGAAAUCCCCGGGCUUAACCUGGGAGCUGCAUUUGAUACGUGUAGACUAGAGUGUGAGAGAGGGUUGUGGAAUUCCCAGUGUAGAGG